Molecule: ribosomal RNA, 97 nt
Filed under: uncultured bacterium
Lineage: Bacteria
Description: partial 16S ribosomal RNA
Rfam family: Bacterial small subunit ribosomal RNA
Source: RNAcentral
CACCGCCCGUCACACCAUGGGAGUUGAUUGCUCCAGAAGUGGCUGAGCUAACCCGCAAGGGAGGCAGGUCCCCAAGGAGUGAUUGGUAACUGGGGUG